GUCAUCCUCUGGCAAGACCCAAGACAUUUUGUGUGCCCUUAAUAGGAAUUUAAGCUUGCUUUAGCCCACGUCAUUUGUAAUCGUCAGAACGACAUGAACGUGGACAUAUUGAGAUGCAUGGCCCCACUGUGCAUGAAGUCUGAAGGUCGUCAGAAGAGAGGAGGAGUUGAGGACAUCGGGGACACUCCUGUACCUGAAGAGGAUUCUGAUAGAGCUCAAGCAUCAGAACGAAGUCUUGGCGGAAUCGGAGCCAUGGCAGACGCUCACAUAGAAAUUGAGCCCCACGGGGGCAUUUCAGGCCAGAAGACACGGGCAAAGAUCUUAGCAAGAUGGCGGCAGUCUCAGGCUCCAGGAGGAAGAAUACCAUUAGAGGAUGAUCUAUAGAAGGGUAUGGCUAAGGACUUAAGAGUAGUGAUAUUUGGAUCCUUUUUGACCAUACUGCAGCCCAUGCAGUAGUCUGCAAACCUUUGAUGAAGUGAAAAAAGAAAAACACCCUGACCUUAUUUAGCUAUGCUGUGGAGAAAUAAAAAAGAUGCCUGCACCCA
Molecule: long non-coding RNA, 545 nt
Filed under: Felis catus (domestic cat)
Lineage: Eukaryota; Metazoa; Chordata; Mammalia; Carnivora; Felidae
Description: lncRNA (ENSFCAG00000041403.2)
Source: RNAcentral